This 27-nucleotide non-coding RNA is filed under the name Mus musculus (house mouse). The record is from RNAcentral. Lineage: Eukaryota; Metazoa; Chordata; Mammalia; Rodentia; Muridae.
UAGAGCGUACUUCUUUGGCAUUCUGGC